RNAcentral lists this long non-coding RNA (1030 nucleotides) under Oryctolagus cuniculus (rabbit). RNAcentral describes it as "lncRNA (ENSOCUG00000034634.1)". Lineage: Eukaryota; Metazoa; Chordata; Mammalia; Lagomorpha; Leporidae. The record is from RNAcentral.
AGCUCAGCGCCGCUCCUGGGGGCCAGAGAACCCGCAGGGAGCGCGACCCCUGUGUGUGCUGUGCCUUGGCGACUGUCCGGGGGACGGCAGGCGACCGCAGGGCGAGGAGCUGCCCGCCAGGGGGUGGACCGAAUGUAAGAGUCGCCCCCCGAUCCGUUGCUCUCUCCCGCUUCCAGCCCGCACCUCUCCGCUAUCCGUGUCCCAUUGGAGGGUUUGCGAAGGCAAAGUAAGGCUGCCCGAGGCGGGGGAGGGGGGGUCUCACAAAAGACCACAGCGGUAAUUCGCGGGAUAAGAAAGGAAACACUUAUCAGCACACGCCUUGGCUAGAGGGGAAACAUUAAGUGGGAUUCUCCUCUGUGCAGCUGGACGCCCAGUGUACUCCUGGCUGUCGAUGCACGCAAGACCUGAAGUCAACCUGCCCAUUUUCCUGGUGGUGGCCUCGGUGGGAAGUCCAGGUAGAAGCGAAGAGAUGGCCCCUUCACAGGAGGGAGCAGCCCGGCACCGCAGGACCCGAGACUCUGCCAAGGAGCCCGCAAGUUCUUCAUCUGUCCCGCUUGUCUCAGGCGCCAAAGAGGACCCAGAGAACAUCUUGCCACCCCGACGCCCUUCUAGUGCGAGGUGAUUGUGAGCUGCUUUGUGCAACUUUCCCAACGCUCUUGUCUAUUCCCCUGCUAAUUGACAGUGCCCGUCAGAAACGAGCAGAGACUUGGGGAGGGGUAUCUGUGAAGUCUGUGAGAGAUGAUCGGAUGAACAUCCCUGGACGUCUCUUCCAAGCAAGAUUUCUUUCAGGAACCUUUUGUGAAGCAUUGCUUCGCACUUUUUACGUCCUUUAUCUCUUCCGUCAUUGCUUUUCUUUCUUCCUUUAACAUUUUCCUAAGUAGCAAAAACAGCUCUGCCCCUGCGAGAUUGACACAGUGGAGUUUGGAGUGGGAAGAGAGAUCAAUAAGAAAAAGAAUUCCUCUCCAAAUACAGAGUAAAGUAAGAAAGAGCAAAUGUACUCUUCCUCCUAAUAAAGGCGCUUAUAAUAACA